CGGAAAAUGAGUAUGUUUUCCUGGCACUAUAGUGGUCCUUUAAGAUUAUUUAUACUCCACUAACAUUAGUAAAUAUGAUAUAUUUCUUAAUUGAUAUUAUAUCCAUGAAUAUUCUAUAUUUUUAAUAUGUGUGUGUGUGUAUGUAUGUAUGUGUGUGUGUGUGUGUGUAUAUAUAUAUAGAGAGCAUUCAACCUCCCUUUUGCUUUAGACAUUGUGCCUUAUCUCUUGUCUUGUUUACAUAAGUUGCAUUCCUUAGCUCAGACUUGAAUGAAUAGUUAUAGAGAGUGAGAAAUCUUGUGUCUGUUUUAGCCUUGUAAUACAAAAUUGAGUCACCUCUGUUCUGAGGGUGACUGGCAGUAUACACUUAAUUUGUCUUAACACAAAAUGUUUUCCAGUAUAAAUAUACUGACAAUGCAAAGAAAAUCACAUUACUUUAAUCAGACAGCCAUAAAUGAACAUAAAAUUGGCUGCCAAGCUGGGUACAAAGACUUCAAUAAAAAAUUCAAGUUUAAGAAGAUGUGUGCUAAUUCAAGAGCAUAAUCACAGAUGAUGUUUUGUUUUUCCAGAGACUACCUAUUUUAAUCUUUAACUGCCAAAGGAGUUGAUUCAAGAAGGCUGAUCUUGAAAAACUAAUGCUUCUGUUUCCAGACUCAUGCAAUUAAGAUCUUAACUGCUGCGCACAUUAUUUAUAUAGCGCCAUCACAUUCCAUAGUGCUGUACAAUGGGUGGACUAACAGGCAUGUAAUUGUAACCAGACAACUGGACGUACAGGAACAGAGAGGUGGAAGGCACUGCUCAAUGAGCUUACAUUCUAGAGGGAGUGGGUGUAACGGAUCGACGGGCACCCUGACUGGAUACCUCCGUUGAAGGAUGCUCCUAGCGCUUCCUGAGGACUCCAAGCACUGCAGCAGACACCUUAACCACCGUAGACUCCCUCAGAGGGCAAGACAGGAACAAGCUCUUACCAGAGCUUAGGAGUGAUUAUAGCAAGGGAAUAUGCAGAGCAUAGCAAUCCCUUGUAGCAGAUCCCCCAAUAAGAGGCAAGACUCCAAAUUGAGGGUGAAGUAGAACUGACAGAGCUGUGGGUUUAUUGUUCUUAUAUACACAUUAGUACCACCCACAGGGUUUUGUAAAACAACCAAUAAACAUGUACAAUACACUCAGACACUCCCACACAAAAUCCUCCCCUCUGCCUGUGAUACAAUUACCUUACACAAUGGGUUAAUAUAAUUAUCACAGGCAGGAAAAUACAGUUUUACACAAUAUUCAUAACUACAAAAGUAUGCAUCACAUUCACAUAAAACAUACAUUUUCAGAAUCCCCAUACUCCAAAUACCAACAUAUGUCACAAUCAUACAAAUUGGUCCAGUGGGUUAAAAGUUAGAUCAACGUUCUUUGUGACCAAAUGAAGCAUGGCUUUUCUGCCCAAAACCAGUUCCACAGAGUCUUCUAUCCUGGAGAUAAUUGGGAAGUAAUCAAAUUAUCUCCAAGGACAGAGGCAAAACUCCAUUAGCCACAUGGUACCAAAAGACAAUAAAAUACAUACAAAUAUAUAACUGUGCAGCCAUUGCACAAAACAGGUACAUUCAACAUAUCCCCAGAUAGCUUAGAUCUGAGCACACAUUAUUACUGAAUGGCGCUCAGAGCACACACAUACAGUUCAAUUGCCAUGGAGCCAAAGUCUUUCACAUAGUCUUUCGUUAUACAAAUGGGCUCCAUGGCAUAGCUAUCUGGGGUAACACUGCUCACAUAGGGAAAGUACCGAAUGACCCGGCUUUCAGGUCUUUGCAGGGGAAAAUCAAGCAUUUCAACAUGGGGCCAUAGUCACAGGGCAGGAGGCUGGCAAUCCGUCUUCUCCAAUGCCCAGUGGCGAGGCUGGUUCUGCCACAGUGGGGUAUAGUGAAACAAAGGGUAAAAGUAGGUGUAUGAAGUAGGUUGUUAGAAGAGUAUUCACUGAGGGCUUAGUAGGUAAUUUUAACAGUUGCAGGAGAAGAGUCAUUGGGGGGGGAAUAAAAACCUGUUUAAUUGAUAUGCUUUCUUGAAGAAGUAGGUUUUCAAUGAUUGUUUGAAUAAGUGGAGACUGGGUGAAAUUCUUACUGAGUAGGGAAGGGAGUUCCUCAGAAGAGGUGCAGCCCUGGAGAAAUCUUAGAGGCGAGCAUUAGAGGUGGGAGUACGGACAGAGGAUAUACGUAGGUCUUUGGCAGAGCGUAGGGGCCUCGAUGGGACAUACUUAUGUAGGGACUUGUAAGCAAGCACCAGAAUUUAAAAUUGAGCCCUAUAUCUAACUGGAAGCCAAUGCAGGGACUGACAGAGCGUGGAGGCGUGGGAGGUGCGAGAGGACAGGAAAAUGAGUCUUGCCGCCGCGGUAAUUGAUUGCAGCGGUGCAAUCUGGGAACACGUAAGACCACUGAGAAGGGUAUUGCAGUAGUCAAGGCAAGCGAGAACAACAGCAUGGACCAGCACCUUAGCCGCAUCUGGCGUUAAAUAGGGGCAGAUGCACGCAAUGUUUUUGAGAUGGAAGUGACAGGAUUUGGUAAUUGAUUGGACAUGAGGGGUGAAGGAGAGGUUGGAGUCAAAGAGAACAUCCAGUCAGCGUGCCUGCGAUGUAGAGGUGUUGGUAGCGCCGUUGACUUGAAGGGAGGCAGACACAGGAGUAGUAACAUUUGAGAGAGGAAAGACCAGAAGUUCUGUUUUGGACAGGUUGAGUUUAACCCCUUAAGGACACAUGACAUGUCUGACAUGUCAUGAUUCCCUUUUAUGCCAGAAGUUUGGUCCUUAAGGGGUUAAGGAAGUGAGCAGCCAUCCAGUUGGAAAUCACAGAGAGGCAGUCAGAGACAUGAGUCAAGAUGGGCAGAGAGAGAUCAGGAGUGGAAAGGUAGGUUUGGGUGUCAUCUGCAUAGAAAUGGUAACAGAAGUCAAGGGAGACGGUAUAGAUAGAGAACAGUAGGGGACCAAGGACAGAAUCUUGGGGUCACCAACAGAGAGGGGUUGGGGAGAAAAGGCAGAGCCAAAGAAAGAAAUACUGAAAAAGCGCUGGGAGAGGAAGGAGGAGCACCAGAAGAGACAGCAGUAUCCCGUAGACCGAGAUUACGGAGAAUGAGAAGAAGCUGUUGAUGAUCAACAGUGUCAAAAGCAGAAGAAAGAUAUAGGCGUUAUUAUAUAGGCCUGCUUUUUUAAGCAUUCGGUCAAGUUCUGUCAGGGUACCUUUUGUGUGGACACAGGAUGUGCCUCACACUGAAGUCCGCUUACAAGGUUCUGGGGACCCGUCCAGGCAUUCUCCCACUGCCUCCAGUCAUUUUCGCGUCGGCCGCGAUAGCUCCGCCCCUUUUAUGACGCGAAAAUUAAUCACCAAAACGUCAGAAAAAUGUCAUCUAUCAUCCUACCAGAGACAGCCACAGUAUAAAAAGGAUUUUGUGAGAGAGGUUCCUUGCCCUGAUAGGUUCGACUUGCUUGACUAUUCUCCUAUCUGUUAUCCUUUUGACUCCGCUUGUGUACCCUUGUCCUUCCUGACUUCUGGCUUCCCUGACUUCAGCUCGUCCUGUUUAUUCUCUGUUUUCGUAACAUCCACCCGCCCAUUCUAAGGUCCGGUACGUUACUACUUUCGUUACACUCUGUUUAGGAUCCCCACUAUCCUGACAAGUUCAUAUAUAACAAGGCUCUCUCUGGGGUAACUUUAGUAUGUUUUUAAAGAUUUUUCAAUAAAAUCAAACCUGUCUAAUCCUCGCAUCUUUUAUUUCCAUCAGAAAAUAAUCUAGCCAACCUGGUUGGGACAAAAUACCAUCUAUUAAUGAAAGUGCAUUUCUGUGCAGAUUGUGAGAUCGUGAAUGUGUUUAAUAAAAUUAGAUUAUUCUAGGUUCCAUUCCUGAUUGUCGAUAUUAAAGUUGAGAACUUUUCCCCAUAUAGUUGCAUUUCUAUUUCUUUCGCUUUGUUUAGUAAUUUAAUAAAUUUUACACAUCUGUUAUUAUUCUUUAUGCAUAAAGAUGUUGUUUUUAAUUCUCAGGCCUUCAAAAAAAAGUUUUACUCUAAUGUAAUUAAACAUUUCUUUUGGAGGCAAACAAUGUCUGUGUUUUGUCACAAACUGUGUCCCCAACCCUGUUACACUCGCUGUUCCAGCCUGCAAAGAAAACUACCUAAUUUGGUUCCCAUUCAUUAUUUUUCUUGGUUAGGUAGAUAAAUCUACCGAACACCCCCCUGGCUCAUGAAGUUCAAGAAAACCGCAGGAAUUGGUGAUCUCACUGUGUGGCUGAACAACAUGUGCUGGAGAAAACGACGGCAAGCUUGUCGCAUGAAAAGAGGCAGUAGAGUGUCUGGAACUUCAAUUCGGACACUCGACUCUACAAACAUCCGGUCAACUUUGCGAAUGCCUGCUUCUUUUUAUGGACAAGCCAGGAGAGCGUUGUUCGGUAGGUUUGUUCGCAUGAACACAGUGAACAAAAGCUACCUAUGAGCCAGGAUAACCGUUUGUGGUUUUGUUUGGUUUGGGACUCGCGAAAUAGACCGACCACUACCCAUGAAACAAUGGAACUGUUUUGGGCAAGCACCUCCCGAGUGGUCCGUCAAAACUCUACCCCGGUGACGAUUCAUCUGUGUUCGUGGGAUGAGUGCUAUAUGGAUAACUUUGGCGCUCAGGUCCAGGCUAUCGGGGAUAUGACAUUUAUGGCGGUCCCUAUAAUAGGGCGCUGAUUGGUCAAACUGGUUUGCGCCCUUUCUCCUGAUAGGCCGGUGUGAGUUCAAGGGCCUAGCUUGAAACCCCUCCCUGAGUGCUGAUUGGUCGCGUGGUUUAGGCAUGAAGUUUGAAUCUGCCGGCCUAAACCAAAUGAUUCUGUGGAACUAUUUCCGGGCAUGUACAGAGCCUCAAGCCCGGACUUUAUACAACGAUAUCUUGGGCUCUGUACGUCCGAUAGCUCCGCUAUUUGCAGGGAUCAUAGCUGGGACCAGGAGCUAUUUGAUUUUGUAUUAUGUGUGGGGUUAUUUUGUCUUUGCUAUGUUUUGGGGUAUUUUUAUUCUUUAUGCACAGUCGUGCUGUGGGAGUGUUCCAGGGCCAUGUUUUGUAUAAAUUGUUGUCCCAUUAAAGAUAUUCCUGUUGUACCGUUAAUCAAGUCUCUGCUGAUGUUUGGGUAGCUAAGAGAUCUGAUCACGGUUUCACUUGGGAUUUGGGGAAGUACUCAGUCGAAAUACAGUCUUCAAACUUUUUUUUUUAAUGGUAUUUUCAGUUUGGUCUACACUUUUAAUACCUGCUCUUCUCCAGUUUUUCAAAUAUACACUUUCCAGUUUUUGUUUUGUUACUUGAAUGUUGCUGGAUUUGGGACUUUAUUUGCUAGAUUAGCGUUGUUUCUUUUUUAAACUUGUACCAUAAUGGUAUUAUUGAACUAUGAAUCAUACAACUAUUUUUACCUAUCUGCAGAUUUUUAAUUUUUUAUUUUCCAAAUAAAUGUAGAUACGGUCUUACAAUCUGAAUUCUUUGCCUCCUCCAAAUAAUACCAAUCUAUUUACAUGGUAAAGGAUACUGGCCUCAUAAUACUGAUACAUAAUAGGAAAACUUAAACCGCCAUUCUUAGUAUCUUUUGACAAUAUGCUAUAACUGAUGCGUGCAAUUUUACCUUUCCAUACAAAAUUUCUAAAUCUUCUUUGUACUUGUUUAAACCAAGGAGCUGUGGAACUUAAGGACAGCAUCCUGACUAAGUAGAUCCACUUAGGUAAGACAUAAGGUUUUAUAAUGUUAAUUCGUCCAUACCAUGAAACGUCCUUAUCACUCCACUCCUUUAAAAUCUUAUUCAUAGAUCUUAUGGUAUUUAAAAUAUUGAGCUUGGCUAUCCUUUUUUUGUAUUUAGGAAUUAUAAUUCUAACUGAC
Molecule: non-coding RNA, 5851 nt
Organism: Pelobates cultripes (western spadefoot toad)
Lineage: Eukaryota; Metazoa; Chordata; Amphibia; Anura; Pelobatidae
Source: the annotation of a GenBank genome assembly